UACGUAGGGUACGAGCGUUGUCCGGAAUUAUUGGGCGUAAAGAGCUUGUAGGCGGUUUGUCGCGUCUGCUGUGAAAAUCCGGGGCUCAACCCCGGACUUGCAGUGGGUACGGGCAGACUAGAGUGUGGUAGGGGAGACUGGAAUUCCUGGUGUAGCGGUGAAAUGCGCAGAUAUCAGGAGGAACACCGAUGGCGAAGGCAGGUCUCUGGGCCACUACUGACGCUGAGAAGCGAAAGCAUGGGGAGCGAACAGGAUUAGAUACCCCU
Molecule: ribosomal RNA, 266 nt
Filed under: uncultured prokaryote
Description: partial 16S ribosomal RNA
Rfam family: Bacterial small subunit ribosomal RNA
Source: RNAcentral